UGGGUUAGCCCCAAAUUCAUUUAGGACUUGUUUGCCUGGAUGGGCCUGAUGAAAAUGGAUAGGAUAGGCCAUCCAUUUUGUUUCUAGCUUUGAUGAAAGGCAGUAGAUUGGAAAUGGGUGCAUUUUUAAUGUUUACUUGCUUUCAAAUAGAACAUUUUGAUAGACCAAACACCUGAUUCUUUUAAUGAUGAGUUCAAUCACCACUGCUUUCAAUCUAAUGUUUAUGUAUCCUCAUCAUAGAUGUAGAGCAGAAGGCGAGUGGUGACCUCACCAAGGAUGUAGAGCUAAAGGGCGUGUUUUUAGCCAUUGGUUAAGAGUGAGAGGCUAGAGGGGCUAUUGAUAUCUAUUGGUUGAAAUUUAAGUUUGUUCAGUUGGAAUGCUGAAGUUUAAAGAAUUAGUAGAGGCCUCUAUUGUGGUUCUCAGAUGUCGAAGAGCAUUAAACCAUGUCUGCCCUAUCGCCGAUUGGUCUCAUCUUCUGUUUUAUGGUUGUGAUUUGCUAAGGAGAUGUUGCAGCAACUUUCAGUCCCAACUGAUGUAUGAUUUUGCCCGUGACAUUCAUGUGCAUUUGUAGUAUGAAAACAUUAAAUAGACCGUUAACUGUUUUAUGGGUAUUGUGUUGAUUAUUGUCUUGAUGAAUGUUAAAUGGGUGAAACAUGCACGCACAUGUUUAAUCA
Molecule: long non-coding RNA, 674 nt
Organism: Magnolia sinica
Lineage: Eukaryota; Viridiplantae; Streptophyta; Magnoliopsida; Magnoliales; Magnoliaceae
Exons: 2
Source: RefSeq, a predicted model, not a curated record